GAUGAAGAACGCAGUGAAAUGCUAUAAGUAAUGUGAAUUGCAGAAUUCAGUGAAUCAUCGAAUCUUUGAACGCACAUUGCGCCCCCUGGUAUUCCGGGGGGCAUGCCUGUUCGAGCGUCAUUUCACCACUCAAGCCUCGCUUGGUAUUGGGCAACGCGGUCCGCCGCGUGCCUCAAAUCGACCGGCUGGGUCUUCUGUCCCCUAAGCGUUGUGGAAACUAUUCGCUAAAGGGUGUUCGGGAGGCUACGCCGUAAAACAACCCCAUUUCUAAGGUUGACCUCGGAUCAGGUAGGGAUACCCGCUGAACUUAAGCAUAUCAAUAAGCGGAGGA
Molecule: unclassified non-coding RNA, 331 nt
Filed under: soil metagenome
Description: partial contains 5.8S ribosomal RNA, internal transcribed spacer 2, and large subunit ribosomal RNA
Rfam family: 5.8S ribosomal RNA (bases 1-120)
Source: RNAcentral